This 216-nucleotide long non-coding RNA is filed under the name Gossypium raimondii (Peruvian cotton). RNAcentral's name for it is "long non-coding RNA (GRAI_LNC008383)". Lineage: Eukaryota; Viridiplantae; Streptophyta; Magnoliopsida; Malvales; Malvaceae. The record is from RNAcentral.
GCUCCACAUUAAUUAGCUUCAAUGAAUCUGAACAUGUGCAUGAAUGUCCAGCCUCCCAUUCCAGCAACCUGUUAAGACACAUUUAAACAAACGGUGAAAGCCUCAAUAAGACAAUAUUGAACACAAUUAAAUAUGUAAUAAGCUAAGACACAUUCAGAAAACUGAUUUGCUAAUAUGCAAUAAAUCUGUCCGAAAUUGGACAUGCUUAAUGGACAA